AGUGAUCUGCCCACCUCACCCUCCAAAAGUGCUGGGAUUACAGGUGUGAGCCACUGCACCUGCCGUGGUUUAGGGUUUUAACGUGGGCUUUCAUUUCCAAGUGUUCCUGUAUGAAUUACAACCCAGUCUCCCCAUGAUAGGGAGUGUGAGUCCCCGUAGAACCAGAACAACCGUCGUCCUUACCAAGCACUACACAUUAGCUUAUUGCUGGCUGUGUGACCGGAGGAGUUCCCUGACCCUCUCUGUGCCUGUUUUCUUAUUUUUAAACAGGAAUAAAAAUACAGGCCAGAGAGUCCGUGAAAUGCUUACACGCAUGCUAGAAGCUGGCUGUUUUUACUGGGGGCUCUAAUUUUGUGUGUUUGGAUUUCCUGGACCCCAGCUGACAGGAGUAUUUUCUCCCGCAGGCCCAUCAGUUACAAGUCCUGUCCCUUCUGACCUCCAGGCCCCACGGCUAGCAUUACAGCCUGGAGUCAAAGUUCUGGGUGAGCUGUGUAUCUUUGG
RNAcentral lists this long non-coding RNA (501 nucleotides) under Homo sapiens (human). Its description in RNAcentral is "HSALNT0235568". The record is from RNAcentral. Lineage: Eukaryota; Metazoa; Chordata; Mammalia; Primates; Hominidae.